AGUGAACGCUGGCGGUAGGCCUAACACAUGCAAGUCGAACGGCAGCACAGUAAGAGCUUGCUCUUACGGGUGGCGAGUGGCGGACGGGUGAGGAAUACAUCGGAAUCUACUUUUUCGUGGGGGAUAACGUAGGGAAACUUACGCUAAUACCGCAUACGACCUACGGGUGAAAGCAGGGGAUCUUCGGACCUUGCGCGAUUGAAUGAGCCGAUGUCGGAUUAGCUAGUUGGCGGGGUAAAGGCCCACCAAGGCGACGAUCCGUAGCUGGUCUGAGAGGAUGAUCAGCCACACUGGAACUGAGACACGGUCCAGACUCCUACGGGAGGCAGCAGUGGGGAAUAUUGGACAAUGGGCGCAAGCCUGGUCCAGCCAUACCGCGUGGGUGAAGAAGGCCUUCGGGUUGUAAAGCCCUUUUGUUGGGAAAGAAAAGCAGCAGGUUAAUACCCCGCUGUUCUGACGGUACCCAAAGAAUAAGCACCGGCUAACUUCGUGC
Molecule: ribosomal RNA, 493 nt
Filed under: uncultured bacterium
Lineage: Bacteria
Description: partial 16S ribosomal RNA
Rfam family: Bacterial small subunit ribosomal RNA
Source: RNAcentral